RNAcentral lists this ribosomal RNA (311 nucleotides) under uncultured eukaryote. RNAcentral describes it as "partial large subunit ribosomal RNA". It matches the Rfam family "Eukaryotic large subunit ribosomal RNA", at positions 40 to 350 of the family's 3401-position model. The record is from RNAcentral.
AUAUUACUCAGCGGAGGAAAAGAAACUAACUAAGAUUGCCCCAGUAACUGCGAGUGAAGAGGCAAGAGCUCAAAGUUAAAAUCGUAGCGGCACUAGCUGCACGAAUUGUAACCUCAAGGGGUGGACAUAAGUUGGACCGAUACACAAGUUCCGAGGAUUCGGACGCCAUAGAGGGUGAAAGCCCCGUACACGGUAUCAGUCUGACGAACGGAAACCUUCUCAGAGUCGGGUUGUUUGGUAAUGCAGCCCUAAAUGGGAGAUAAACAUCUUCUAAAGCUAAAUAUGAAUGGGAGACCGAUAGCGCACAAGUA